This 1288-nucleotide ribosomal RNA is filed under the name Staphylococcus aureus. Its description in RNAcentral is "partial 23S ribosomal RNA". It matches the Rfam family "Bacterial large subunit ribosomal RNA", at positions 922 to 2211 of the family's 2925-position model. The record is from RNAcentral. Lineage: Bacteria; Bacillati; Bacillota; Bacilli; Caryophanales; Staphylococcaceae.
GGGCCCCUCUCGGGUUACCGAAUUCAGACAAACUCCGAAUGCCAAUUAAUUUAACUUGGGAGUCAGAACAUGGGUGAUAAGGUCCGUGUUCGAAAGGGAAACAGCCCAGACCACCAGCUAAGGUCCCAAAAUAUAUGUUAAGUGGAAAAGGAUGUGGCGUUGCCCAGACAACUAGGAUGUUGGCUUAGAAGCAGCCAUCAUUUAAAGAGUGCGUAAUAGCUCACUAGUCGAGUGACACUGCGCCGAAAAUGUACCGGGGCUAAACAUAUUACCGAAGCUGUGGAUUGUCCUUUGGACAAUGGUAGGAGAGCGUUCUAAGGGCGUUGAAGCAUGAUCGUAAGGACAUGUGGAGCGCUUAGAAGUGAGAAUGCCGGUGUGAGUAGCGAAAGACGGGUGAGAAUCCCGUCCACCGAUUGACUAAGGUUUCCAGAGGAAGGCUCGUCCGCUCUGGGUUAGUCGGGUCCUAAGCUGAGGCCGACAGGCGUAGGCGAUGGAUAACAGGUUGAUAUUCCUGUACCACCUAUAAUCGUUUUAAUCGAUGGGGGGACGCAGUAGGAUAGGCGAAGCGUGCGAUUGGAUUGCACGUCUAAGCAGUAAGGCUGAGUAUUAGGCAAAUCCGGUACUCGUUAAGGCUGAGCUGUGAUGGGGAGAAGACAUUGUGUCUUCGAGUCGUUGAUUUCACACUGCCGAGAAAAGCCUCUAGAUAGAAAAUAGGUGCCCGUACCGCAAACCGACACAGGUAGUCAAGAUGAGAAUUCUAAGGUGAGCGAGCGAACUCUCGUUAAGGAACUCGGCAAAAUGACCCCGUAACUUCGGGAGAAGGGGUGCUCUUUAGGGUUAACGCCCAGAAGAGCCGCAGUGAAUAGGCCCAAGCGACUGUUUAUCAAAAACACAGGUCUCUGCUAAACCGUAAGGUGAUGUAUAGGGGCUGACGCCUGCCCGGUGCUGGAAGGUUAAGAGGAGUGGUUAGCUUCUGCGAAGCUACGAAUCGAAGCCCCAGUAAACGGCGGCCGUAACUAUAACGGUCCUAAGGUAGCGAAAUUCCUUGUCGGGUAAGUUCCGACCCGCACGAAAGGCGUAACGAUUUGGGCACUGUCUCAACGAGAGACUCGGUGAAAUCAUAGUACCUGUGAAGAUGCAGGUUACCCGCGACAGGACGGAAAGACCCCGUGGAGCUUUACUGUAGCCUGAUAUUGAAAUUCGGCACAGCUUGUACAGGAUAGGUAGGAGCCUUUGAAACGUGAGCGCUAGCUUACGUGGAGGCGCUGGUGGGAUACUACCCUAGCUG